Molecule: unclassified non-coding RNA, 301 nt
Filed under: Ambispora leptoticha
Lineage: Eukaryota; Fungi; Glomeromycota; Glomeromycetes; Archaeosporales; Ambisporaceae
Description: partial contains 5.8S ribosomal RNA and internal transcribed spacer 2
Rfam family: 5.8S ribosomal RNA (bases 1-71)
Source: RNAcentral
GUGAAUCAUCGAAUUUUUGAACGCAUAUUGCACUCUCUGGUAUUCCGGAGAGUAUGCCUGUUUGAGGGUCAUUUGAAAUCAUAUAAAUUCCAAGAUUUCUCGGAAUUUAAAAUGGGUUGUCCAUUUUUUGUGGUCGCCUAAAAUCCAAGACAAGCUCAUUUUCUUGGGUUGCGUGAUACUUUUGGUUACCUCGUGACUUAACCAGGAAUCAUCGGGCGUGUUAUGAAUUUCGCAGGAGAUAAAUAUGAGUUUAGCUCAUGCGAAAAUAGAAAUUGAAUCGUGACCUCAAAUUAGGUAGGAG